This 716-nucleotide ribosomal RNA is filed under the name uncultured bacterium. Its description in RNAcentral is "bacterial SSU rRNA". It matches the Rfam family "Bacterial small subunit ribosomal RNA", at positions 55 to 764 of the family's 1533-position model. The record is from RNAcentral.
AUGCAAGUCGAGGGGUAGCAGGAUGUAGCAAUACAUUGCUGACGACCGGCGCACGGGUGAGUAACGCGUAUGCAACCUACCCACUAUAGGGGGAUAGCCCGUUGAAAGACGGAUUAAUACCGCAUAACACUGCAGUCUCGCAUGAGGCCGCAUUUAAAGAUUUAUUGAUAGUGGAUGGGCAUGCGUUCCAUUAGCUAGUUGGUAAGGUAACGGCUUACCAAGACAUCGAUCAUUAGGGGUUCUGAGAGGAAGGUCCCCCACACUGGUACUGAGACACGGACCAGACUCCUACGGGAGGCAGCAGUGAGGAAUAUUGGUCAAUGGGCGAGAGCCUGAACCAGCCAAGUCGCGUGAAGGAAGACGGUUCUAUGGAUUGUAAACUUCUUUUGUAAGGGAAUAAAGUUCACUACGUGUAGUGUUUUGUAUGUACUUUACGAAUAAGGAUCGGCUAACUCCGUGCCAGCAGCCGCGGUAAUACGGAGGAUCCAAGCGUUAUCCGGAUUUAUUGGGUUUAAGGGGUGCGUAGGCGGACCCAUAAGUCAGUGGUGAAAGUUUGCAGCUUAACUGUAAAAUUGCCGUUGAAACUGUGGGUCUUGAGUGUAAAUAAAGUAGGCGGAAUGUGUUGUGUAGCGGUGAAAUGCUUAGAUAUAACACAGAACACCAAUUGCGAAGGCAGCUUACUGGGAUACAACUGACGCUGAGGCACGAAAGCGUGG